Molecule: long non-coding RNA, 123 nt
Organism: Raphanus sativus (radish)
Lineage: Eukaryota; Viridiplantae; Streptophyta; Magnoliopsida; Brassicales; Brassicaceae
Exons: 2
Source: RefSeq, a predicted model, not a curated record
GUGUUCAUUCAAUAAAUAUAAACGAGGAGUUGGUGCUCAUUCAACAAAUAUAAACAAGGAAGAGUUGCAAGUGAUAGAACCUUCAAAGUCUUGCAUCGACCGGAUAAACAACAGUGUUCAGUG